This 28-nucleotide non-coding RNA is filed under the name Rattus norvegicus (Norway rat). The record is from RNAcentral. Lineage: Eukaryota; Metazoa; Chordata; Mammalia; Rodentia; Muridae.
UCGUUCUGUGUAGUAAUGUUGCAAGGAC